AUUGAACGCUGGCGGCAGGCCUAACACAUGCAAGUCGAGCGAGCGGCGGACGGGUGAGUAAUGUAUGGGGACUGCCUGAUAGCGGGGGAUAACUACUGGAAACGGUGGAUAAUACCGCAUACUCUCGUAUAACCCAUAGUGGAUUGGCUUGGAGGUGGGGUAACGGCUCACCUAGGCGCCGAUCCCUAGCUGGUCUGAGAGGAUGAUCAGAGACACGGGGACUUGUAUACGGCCCCGACUCGUACGGAGGCAGCAGUGGGGAAGAUUGCACAAUGGGCGCAAGCCUGAGGCAGCCAUGCCGCGUGUAUGAAGAAGGCCUUAGGGUUGUAAAGUACUGUCAGUGGGGAGGCGUUACCCGCAGAAGAAGCACCGGCUAACUCCGUGCCAGUAGCCGCGGUAAUAC
RNAcentral lists this ribosomal RNA (403 nucleotides) under uncultured bacterium. RNAcentral describes it as "partial 16S ribosomal RNA". It matches the Rfam family "Bacterial small subunit ribosomal RNA", at positions 30 to 526 of the family's 1533-position model. The record is from RNAcentral.